GCCAGAUAUACGGUAUAGACACUUCGGGUGAAGACUUCGAAUCAGUAGGUUGCGCGUUCGAAUCGCGCCGGGGGCG
RNAcentral lists this transfer RNA (76 nucleotides) under Patescibacteria group bacterium. RNAcentral's name for it is "tRNA-Ser". The record is from RNAcentral.